This 815-nucleotide ribosomal RNA is filed under the name Microbacterium sp. MCCC 1A10567. RNAcentral describes it as "bacterial SSU rRNA". It matches the Rfam family "Bacterial small subunit ribosomal RNA", at positions 53 to 876 of the family's 1533-position model. The record is from RNAcentral. Lineage: Bacteria; Bacillati; Actinomycetota; Actinomycetes; Micrococcales; Microbacteriaceae.
ACAUGCAGUCGAACGAUGAAGCCUCACUUGUGGGGUGGAUUAGUGGCGAACGGGUGAGUAACACGUGAGUAACCUGCCCCUGACUCUGGGAUAAGCGCUGGAAACGGUGUCUAAUACUGGAUAUGACUCAUGGCCGCAUGGUCUGUGGGUGGAAAGGGUUUACUGGUUGGGGAUGGACUCGCGGCCUAUCAGCUUGUUGGUGAGGUAAUGGCUUACCAAGGCGACGACGGGUAGCCGGCCUGAGAGGGUGACCGGCCACACUGGGACUGAGACACGGCCCAGACUCCUACGGGAGGCAGCAGUGGGGAAUAUUGCACAAUGGGCGAAAGCCUGAUGCAGCAACGCCGCGUGGGGGAUGACGGCCUUCGGGUUGUAAACCUCUUUUGGCAGGGAAGAAGCCUUUGGGUGACGGUACCUGCAGAAAAAGCACCGGCUAACUACGUGCCAGCAGCCGCGGUAAUACGUAGGGUGCGAGCGUUGUCCGGAAUUAUUGGGCGUAAAGAGCUCGUAGGCGGUUUGUCGCGUCUGCUGUGAAAUCCCGAGGCUCAACCUCGGGCCUGCAGUGGGUACGGGCAGACUAGAGUGCGGUAGGGGAGAUUGGAAUUCCUGGUGUAGCGGUGGAAUGCGCAGAUAUCAGGAGGAACACCGAUGGCGAAGGCAGAUCUCUGGGCCGCUACUGACGCUGAGGAGCGAAAGGGUGGGGAGCGAACAGGCUUAGAUACCCUGGUAGUCCACCCCGUAAACGUUGGGAACUAGAUGUGGGGGCCUUUCCACGGUCUCCGUGUCGCAGCUAACGCAUUAAGUUCCCCGCCUGG